Molecule: unclassified non-coding RNA, 292 nt
Filed under: uncultured bacterium
Lineage: Bacteria
Description: partial contains 16S ribosomal RNA and 16S-23S ribosomal RNA intergenic spacer region
Rfam family: Bacterial small subunit ribosomal RNA
Source: RNAcentral
GGCAAGUCGAGCGAACUUGCGGGAGCUUGCUCCCAAAAGUUAGUUUCCGACGGGUGAGAAACACAUGGGCAACCUGCCUAUAAGACUGGGAUAACUUCGGGAAACCGGAGCUAAUACCGGAUAACUCCUUUCCUCUCAUGAGGAAAGGCUGAAAGACGGUUUCGGCUGUCACUUAUAGAUGGGCCCGCGGCGCAUUAGCUAGUUGGUGAGGUAACGGCUCACCAAGGCCACGAUGCGUAGCUGACCUGAGAGGGUGAUCGGCCACACUGGGACUGAUACACGGCCCAGACUC